This 73-nucleotide transfer RNA is filed under the name Naganishia friedmannii. RNAcentral's name for it is "tRNA-Lys". It matches the Rfam family "tRNA". From Rfam's summary of the family: Transfer RNA (tRNA) molecules are approximately 80 nucleotides in length. Their secondary structure includes four short double-helical elements and three loops (D, anti-codon, and T loops). RNAcentral also lists the same sequence under 3 other names. Lineage: Eukaryota; Fungi; Basidiomycota; Tremellomycetes; Filobasidiales; Filobasidiaceae. The record is from RNAcentral.
GGGAGUAUAACUCAAUUGGUAGAGUGAGAAGCUUUUAACUUCUAAGUUAUUGGUUCGAUCCCAAUUGCUCCUA